AUAUAUAUCUGCACCUCUUAAAGAAUAUAAAACUGAUCUUGUCUGGUCUCGGAAGCUAAGCAGGGUCGGGCCUGGUUAGUACUUGGAUGGGAGACCACCUAAGAAGACCAGGUGUCAUAGGUG
Molecule: ribosomal RNA, 123 nt
Organism: Pteropus vampyrus (large flying fox)
Lineage: Eukaryota; Metazoa; Chordata; Mammalia; Chiroptera; Pteropodidae
Source: Ensembl